GCUUCCCUCAUCUGUUCUCUUCCAAAGAAGCUGGUCCUUAGCCUGUAUUGCGGAGCAAGCUUUCGGCGACCAGCUGGACCCUGGGCACCCUUCUUCGAACAAUGGCUUUUAAUUCUCAGACUAGAACGUUUAGGAUUACAAAAGAAACUGGUUCUUUUCACAUUCUUAUUCUUGUGAUGUAGCAUUCCGCAUAUAUAUAUAUAUAUAUAUAUAUAUAUAUAUAUAUAUGUAUCCAACUAUCCUAAAAGACACUACCCUUCAUCAUUCCAUGCCAUUAGACAUGUAUAGGACCAUGCAUGGUGAUCUCCUCCAGACAAAAGUAAAUGCUGGUGCAGAACAGGAUUUGAGUUUGAUGUCUUGCAUACAAUGUGAUCCCACUGUAUGACUACACAAAUGUUGGCAAAAGUGAGUUCAGAGGAAAUGGUAGGCAAGUACUUCCCAGUUUUGGCCAGAAGAUGGAGAAAAAAGAAUUCUCAAAAAAUGUUAAAGGUAUGACCUGUUAUAUCUUCUUUUCACAGUAAUUUAGACAGAAAUUAGCAAAAUCAAACAUGUAUAAAUACUUUGGUCUGACAAUUCCAUCUCCAGGUGUCUACAGAGAAAUAGACAAGUGAUGCACGACAGAUACAUGUGUCAGUCUGGUCCCUGCAGUUGUAUUUGUAAUAAUACACAUUGGAGCAAUUUCAUGGCCAUCGGUUAGAGAAUGUUUGAGGAAUGAUCCAUUCAUAUCAAGAAGGACAUUUCAAAGAUCAAAACCUGAUGGAAAUGCUGGAGACCAUGGCGCUGAUAGGAGCUCAUGCGUGUGGACCAAUUACUACGUGACAGGCAUUGGCUCCAUGCUUUUCCUGCACUGCUCAUUUAAACACUGGACAACCUAAGUGUUCUGAUUUAUCCCAUUGGACAGAUAGAAAUGGAGGCACAGAAGAUUAAUGUGUUUAACUUCAAACCCUGGCAGAUUAGGUUUUUCAUCCAGAGCCUGUGGCUUCACCAUAGCUGUGAUUCACGUUCUGUCAUUCUCCACUUUAGGAAUUUCCAGUAUUCCAAAUAUGAGAAGCUGAGAAAACAAACAACAAACUCAAAACCCUAAAAACCGGAUACGUAAGGGUAGAUGUUUGUUGGGUGUGGAUUAAAAAUGGACUUUUUUUGCCCCAAGCAACAAAGAGGCACCUUAGAAAAUAGACAAGAGACAAGAAGAAGAGAAGCUUUAAGAGAUAUUUGGUCCAAGGAAGAGACUCUUCAGAUGGAAGGUCACGUCAGCUAGAAACAUUAAUAUGACUGGAUGGGCUCAAACCACUGACUUUUCAGUCAACAUCUGACAGCACUAACCCAGUGUUCCAGAGACACUGCUUGUUAAACAGUGAAUGCUGUUGCUCAAUUGUGUCAUCCGUAAUUGUCAAAUAUUGGCAUUUAGUAGCACAAGGAAGUAUUCUCCGUUGCCAAGCUAGAGCACCC
RNAcentral lists this long non-coding RNA (1449 nucleotides) under Homo sapiens (human). RNAcentral describes it as "non-protein coding LINC01719:25". The record is from RNAcentral. Lineage: Eukaryota; Metazoa; Chordata; Mammalia; Primates; Hominidae.